RNAcentral lists this long non-coding RNA (2374 nucleotides) under Homo sapiens (human). Its description in RNAcentral is "HSALNT0316055". Lineage: Eukaryota; Metazoa; Chordata; Mammalia; Primates; Hominidae. The record is from RNAcentral.
AUAUGUCACCAGCUAACUAAAGCUCCCCAUUGUGUUUAUAGAUUUCUUUUAAAGGCACUUUUAAUGCCGUUUUACACAUUAGGAGAUAGUUAAUUUAGAAGUAAAUGGUAGACCACGAGAGGAGCCUUCUUCUUUUUCUUCUUUUUAAAUUGAUGUCCAUUUGCAUCUCAGCACAGCAACUCCACAAAUUCCUGACUCUCAAUCCUGAGAGUCCUGUCACAGGACUGCCUGCGGCAAUCAGUCCUGGUUUCUUUUUGAACAAGCUUUCUUUUAACACUUAAAUCCAGGGAUGAUUUAACAGAAAGUGUCUCAAGUCUAUGAGCUACAGCCCCCUUAGACUCUACCCAAACAAAGCUACUAAUGUGUGGUCAGUUUCUUGGCAACUCCACUCUCCGCUGAUAACGCUCCUGCCUGCUAUUCUCCAAGGAGCCGGCUGCUGGAAGACUGCUCCGAACCUCAUCCCCUUGGUGCUCCUGAUGCGGGCGAUCCUCCGACUGCUCGGCGCCAACCACAACAUGCUACCCACCGUGAGAGAGCAGGACGCGGGCUGCUCUAGUCAGGACUUAUCGUCUAUCAUACUGAUUGACGAAACCAAGAGUGAGCAGAAAAAAUAAACACGAACAGAGGCUGCAGUGUAUGGGCCAGUCAGCUGGGAGUUUUAGUAUUUGGCCUUGGUGAUCCUACUCUCAUGAUGGAGUUUCACUCUUGUUGCCCAGGCUGGAGUGUAAUGGCACGAUAUCAGCUCACCACAACCUCCACCUCCCGCGUUCAAGUGAUUCUCCUGCUUCAGCCUCCUGAGCAGCUGGGAUUACUGGCAUGCGCCACCACCCUGGCUAAUUUUGUAUUUUUAGUAGAGACAGGGUUUCUCCAUGUGGGUCAGGCUGGUCUUGAACUCCCGACCUCAGGUGAUCUACCCGCCUCGGCCUCCCAAAGUGCUGGGAUUACAGGCGUGAGCCACUGUACCAGGCCUCUAAUACUUUUAUUCAAGGAUUAAUAAAGCCUUUUAAUGCAAUGAUGUAAUUGCAUUUCAAGUUUCUUGAAACAAUUUCUAAAAUUUAUAGCAAUUUAGACAAUAACUAUUUAUUAAACACUCACUACAUGCUUAUCCCACAAUCCCUAAAAUGUGAUGGAUAUGCUGUCAUACUUUUGGCACUGAGAAAUUUUCUAAAAAAUACAAUUUUAUUGACAUAUAUUUAAACAGAAUCUUUGGACAUUAAGACUGUCUGCACAAAAAUUUCUCUAAAUUACUUUGUUAAAAAUGUGAUAGAAUUCAGUUAAACCUGAAAUUUGGGUCAAUAUGAUACCAACUAGCUGACUUUUGCCCAGUGAACCUACAUAGCUGCUCCAUUUCUUCAUCUCUAAAAUGAGAAUUAUCAUAAUACUUAUGUCAUAGAUAGGUUGUGAAGAUUAAAUAAAAUCAUGUGUUUAAGUAUUUAGGAUAGCACCUGGCACAGGGUAAAAACAAUAUGUUAACUAUUUUUAUUAUGUAUGUAUUUAGAAGUUUCAAGUAAUUCUAAACUUGACAAUAUUAUUAGAAUUGCAUUACAAUUACUUGGGAAAAUCACUCCAAACCAAUUAAUCUGAAUCUAUGAGGAUAAUUAUAAUGUGUAGCUAGAAUUGAAAACCUGUGAUGAAGAUAUAGAAAUUCAGCAGAUUGGUGGCCCCUAAAUGAUUUGUUUUCGCUACUUCCUUGUGUCCUCCUAAAGCAAAGCUCAACUCAGUGAUUUGCAGAUAGUAGAUGCUUAAUCAUCAAAUAAAAUGGAAAACUGCUAAAUCUACCUCUUAGUUUGUAUUGCACAAAUUCUUAGUCUAAGUCUCUAUACAUGGUAUAACAUGUUCAGGGAUGCAUUUCUAGGCACUGUUCUAGGAAUACCCUUUUGUUGUCUGUCAAUUUGACAUCUCUCUAUUCAUCUCUUCUUUGAGUACUAUUCUUUGGGUACUGUUAUGGUACCCAAGAUUAUGUCCUCAUAUAUUAAAGCCCUAACACCCAAUGCCUGAGAAUAUGACCAUAUUUGGAGAUAGGACCUACAAGUAUUAGUUAAAAUGAGCUGUUAUCGUGGGCCAUAAUCUAAUCUGAUUAGCGUACUUCUAAGAAGAGAAAUGUUGGAAACACAAAGAGACACCAGAGGCAUGCAUGCUCAGAGGAAAGAUCAUGUAAGUAGGGCAUAGUAAGUAGGUAGAGAUCUGCAAGCCAAGGAGAGAGGCCUCAGAAGAAACCAAGCCUGCCAAUGCCUUGAUCUUAGACUUCUGGGCCCCGGAAUUGUAAGGAAAUGUAUUUCUGUUGCUUAAGUCACUCAGUCUGUGGUACUCUGUUGGGACAGCCCUAGUAAACUAUUACAAGUACGUUCAUCUCUCCAUCCCAUUUAUAGGCAGG